RNAcentral lists this transfer RNA (60 nucleotides) under Fukomys damarensis (Damara mole-rat). It matches the Rfam family "tRNA". From Rfam's summary of the family: Transfer RNA (tRNA) molecules are approximately 80 nucleotides in length. Their secondary structure includes four short double-helical elements and three loops (D, anti-codon, and T loops). Lineage: Eukaryota; Metazoa; Chordata; Mammalia; Rodentia; Bathyergidae. The record is from Rfam by way of RNAcentral.
GGGGGCAUAGCUCAGUGGUAGAGCAUUUGACUGCAGAUCAAAGGUCCCUGGGUGUCUCCU